GGCUGGAUGGUCUAGUGGUAAGACGUCCGUCUCUCAAUUUCAGCCGAUUUUGGAUUUAUCCAAACUCGCCUACGACAAGCCUCCGAGUUUGUGGUUGAGAACAGACGGGAACCCCCAGUUCAAAUCUGGGUCCGGCCA
Molecule: transfer RNA, 138 nt
Organism: Pseudogymnoascus pannorum
Lineage: Eukaryota; Fungi; Ascomycota; Leotiomycetes; Thelebolales; Thelebolaceae
Rfam family: tRNA
About the family: Transfer RNA (tRNA) molecules are approximately 80 nucleotides in length. Their secondary structure includes four short double-helical elements and three loops (D, anti-codon, and T loops).
Source: Rfam